AUGCCAUGAUGGGGGCACUUCCGUAAUAACUUCUUGAACAGCUCCCAUGCCUCAUAUAAAGUUUCUUCAUCAAGCUAUUGAAUUGAAGUGAUUUCAUUUCGAAUCUU
Gossypium arboreum is the source of this 107-nucleotide small nucleolar RNA. It matches the Rfam family "Plant small nucleolar RNA R71". Rfam says of the family: R71 is a member of the C/D box family of snoRNAs containing the C (UGAUGA) and D (CUGA) box motifs. The record is from Rfam. NCBI's taxonomy places the organism in Eukaryota, Viridiplantae, Streptophyta, Magnoliopsida, Malvales, Malvaceae.